RNAcentral lists this ribosomal RNA (411 nucleotides) under uncultured bacterium. Its description in RNAcentral is "bacterial SSU rRNA". It matches the Rfam family "Bacterial small subunit ribosomal RNA", at positions 505 to 916 of the family's 1533-position model. The record is from RNAcentral.
GUGUCAGCCGCCGCGGUAAUACGUAGGGUGCAAGCGUUAAUCGGAAUUACUGGGCGUAAAGCGUGCGCAGGCGGUUUUGUAAGACAGGUGUGAAAUCCCCGAGCUCAACUUGGGAACUGCACUUGUGACUGCAAGACUAGAAUAUGUCAGAGGGAGGUAGAAUUCCACGUGUAGCAGUGAAAUGCGUAGAGAUGUGGAGGAAUACCAGUGGCGAAGGCGGCCUCCUGGGAUAAUAUUGACGCUCAUGUACGAAAGCGUGGGGAGCAAACAGGAUUAGAUACCCUGGUAGUCCACGCCCUAAACGAUGUCAACUGGUUGUUGGGGAUUCAUUUCCUUAGUAACGAAGCUAACGCGUGAAGUUGACCGCCUGGGGAGUACGGUCGCAAGAUUAAAACUCAAAUAAAUUGACGG